This 2923-nucleotide ribosomal RNA is filed under the name Campylobacter coli. RNAcentral's name for it is "23S ribosomal RNA". It matches the Rfam family "Bacterial large subunit ribosomal RNA". The record is from RNAcentral. Lineage: Bacteria; Pseudomonadati; Campylobacterota; Epsilonproteobacteria; Campylobacterales; Campylobacteraceae.
AAAAAAGGUAAGCUACUAAGAGCGAAUGGUGGAUGCCUUGACUGGUAAAGGCGAUGAAGGACGUACUAGACUGCGAUAAGCUACGGGGAGCUGUCAAGAAGCUUUGAUCCGUAGAUUUCCGAAUGGGGCAACCCAAUGUAUAGAGAUAUACAUUACCUAUAUAGGAGCGAACGAGGGGAAUUGAAACAUCUUAGUACCCUCAGGAAAAGAAAUCAAUAGAGAUUGCGUCAGUAGCGGCGAGCGAAAGCGCAAGAGGGCAAACCCAGUGCUUGCACUGGGGGUUGUAGGACUGCAAUGUGCAAGAGGUGAGUUUAGCAGAACAUUCUGGAAAGUAUAGCCAUAGAGGGUGAUAGUCCCGUAUGCGAAAAACAAACCUUAGCUAGCAGUAUCCUGAGUAGGGCGGGACACGAGGAAUCCUGUCUGAAUCCGGGUCGACCACGAUCCAACCCUAAAUACUAAUACCAGAUCGAUAGUGCACAAGUACCGUGAGGGAAAGGUGAAAAGAACUGAGGUGAUCAGAGUGAAAUAGAACCUGAAACCAUUUGCUUACAAUCAUUCAGAGCCCUAUGUAGCAAUACAGGGUGAUGGACUGCCUUUUGCAUAAUGAGCCUGCGAGUUGUGGUGUCUGGCAAGGUUAAGCAAACGCGAAGCCGUAGCGAAAGCGAGUCUGAAUAGGGCGCUUAGUCAGAUGCUGCAGACCCGAAACGAAGUGAUCUAUCCAUGAGCAAGUUGAAGCUAGUGUAAGAACUAGUGGAGGACUGAACCCAUAGGCGUUGAAAAGCCCCGGGAUGACUUGUGGAUAGGGGUGAAAGGCCAAUCAAACUUCGUGAUAGCUGGUUCUCUCCGAAAUAUAUUUAGGUAUAGCGUUGUGUCGUAAUAUAAGGGGGUAGAGCACUGAAUGGGCUAGGGCAUACACCAAUGUACCAAACCCUAUCAAACUCCGAAUACCUUAUAUGUAAUCACAGCAGUCAGGCGGCGAGUGAUAAAAUCCGUCGUCAAGAGGGAAACAACCCAGACUACCAGCUAAGGUCCCUAAAUCUUACUUAAGUGGAAAACGAUGUGAAGUUACUUAAACAACCAGGAGGUUGGCUUAGAAGCAGCCAUCCUUUAAAGAAAGCGUAAUAGCUCACUGGUCUAGUGAUUUUGCGCGGAAAAUAUAACGGGGCUAAAGUAAGUACCGAAGCUGUAGACUUGAUUUUAUCAAGUGGUAGGAGAGCGUUCUAUUUGCGCCGAAGGUAUACCGGUAAGGAGUGCUGGAGCGAAUAGAAGUGAGCAUGCAGGCAUGAGUAGCGAUAAUUAAUGUGAGAAUCAUUAACGCCGUAAACCCAAGGUUUCCUACGCGAUGCUCGUCAUCGUAGGGUUAGUCGGGUCCUAAGUCGAGUCCGAAAGGGGUAGACGAUGGCAAAUUGGUUAAUAUUCCAAUACCAACAUUAGUGUGCGAUGGAAGGACGCUUAGGGCUAAGGGGGCUAGCGGAUGGAAGUGCUAGUCUAAGGUCGUAGGAGGUUAUACAGGCAAAUCCGUAUAACAAUACUCCGAGAACUGAAAGGCUUUUUGAAGUCUUCGGAUGGAUAGAAGAACCCCUGAUGCCGUCGAGCCAAGAAAAGUUUCUAAGUUUAGCUAAUGUUGCCCGUACCGUAAACCGACACAGGUGGGUGGGAUGAGUAUUCUAAGGCGCGUGGAAGAACUCUCUUUAAGGAACUCUGCAAAAUAGCACCGUAUCUUCGGUAUAAGGUGUGGUUCGCUUCGUAUUAGGAUUUACUCCGAAAGCGAAGAAACUUACAACAAAGAGUCCCUCCCGACUGUUUACCAAAAACACAGCACUCUGCUAACUCGUAAGAGGAUGUAUAGGGUGUGACGCCUGCCCGGUGCUCGAAGGUUAAUUGAUGGGGUUAGCAUUAGCGAAGCUCUUGAUCGAAGCCCGAGUAAACGGCGGCCGUAACUAUAACGGUCCUAAGGUAGCGAAAUUCCUUGUCGGUUAAAUACCGACCUGCAUGAAUGGCGUAACGAGAUGGGAGCUGUCUCAAAGAGGGAUCCAGUGAAAUUGUAGUGGAGGUGAAAAUUCCUCCUACCCGCGGCAAGACGGAAAGACCCCGUGGACCUUUACUACAGCUUGACACUGCUAUUUGGAUAAGAAUGUGCAGGAUAGGUGGGAGGCUUUGAGUAUAUGACGCCAGUUGUAUAUGAGCCAUUGUUGAGAUACCACUCUUUCUUAUUUGGGUAGCUAACCAGCUUGAGUUAUCCUCAAGUGGGACAAUGUCUGGUGGGUAGUUUGACUGGGGCGGUCGCCUCCCAAAUAAUAACGGAGGCUUACAAAGGUUGGCUCAGAACGGUUGGAAAUCGUUCGUAGAGUAUAAAGGUAUAAGCCAGCUUAACUGCAAGACAUACAAGUCAAGCAGAGACGAAAGUCGGUCUUAGUGAUCCGGUGGUUCUGUGUGGAAGGGCCAUCGCUCAAAGGAUAAAAGGUACCCCGGGGAUAACAGGCUGAUCUCCCCCAAGAGCUCACAUCGACGGGGAGGUUUGGCACCUCGAUGUCGGCUCAUCGCAUCCUGGGGCUGGAGCAGGUCCCAAGGGUAUGGCUGUUCGCCAUUUAAAGCGGUACGCGAGCUGGGUUCAGAACGUCGUGAGACAGUUCGGUCCCUAUCUGCCGUGGGCGUAAGAAGAUUGAAGAGAUUUGACCCUAGUACGAGAGGACCGGGUUGAACAAACCACUGGUGUAGCUGUUGUUCUGCCAAGAGCAUCGCAGCGUAGCUAAGUUUGGAAAGGAUAAACGCUGAAAGCAUCUAAGCGUGAAGCCAACUCUAAGAUGAAUCUUCUCUAAGCUCUCUAGAAGACUACUAGUUUGAUAGGCUGGGUGUGUAAUGGAUGAAAGUCCUUUAGCUGACCAGUACUAAUAGAGCGUUUGGCUUAUCUUUAAUAAAGCAU